AGCUCCAAUAGCGUAUAUUAAAGUUGUUGCAGUUAAAAAGCUCGUAGUUGAAUUUCUGGUCAUUUUUAAUGCCGGCCUCGGUCGCGUUAAGGUUGGCCAUCCGUUUGCAAGCUACUCUCGGCCUUCACUGGUUCGGAGUAGUGAGCUGACAUUUUACUUUGAAAAAAUUAGAGUGUUUCAGGCAGGCGCAUGCCCGAAUAUACUAGCAUGGAAUAAUGGAAUCGGACUUUGGUCCAUUUGGUUGGUUAUUGGAUCUGAGUAAUGGUUAAUAGGGACAGUUGGGGGCAUUAGUAUUUAAUUGUCAGAGGUGAAAUUCUUGGAUUUAUUAAAGACUAACUUAUGCGAAAGCAUUUGCCAAGGAUGUUU
RNAcentral lists this ribosomal RNA (366 nucleotides) under uncultured eukaryote. RNAcentral's name for it is "SSU rRNA". It matches the Rfam family "Eukaryotic small subunit ribosomal RNA", at positions 587 to 969 of the family's 1831-position model. The record is from RNAcentral.